AGAGUUUGAUCCUGGCUCAGAUUGAACGCUGGCGGCAUGCCUUACACAUGCAAGUCGAACGGCAGCACGGGGGCAAUCCUGGUGGCGAGUGGCGAACGGGUGAGUAAUACAUCGGAACGUGUCCUGUAGUGGGGGAUAGCCCGGCGAAAGCCGGAUUAAUACCGCAUACGCUCUACGGAGGAAAGGGGGGGAUCUUAGGACCUCCCGCUACAGGGGCGGCCGAUGGCAGAUUAGCUAGUUGGUGGGGUAAAGGCCUACCAAGGCGACGAUCUGUAGCUGGUCUGAGAGGACGACCAGCCACACUGGGACUGAGACACGGCCCAGACUCCUACGGGAGGCAGCAUUGGGGAAUUUUGGACAAUGGGGGAAACCCUGAUCCAGCAAUGCCGCGUGUGUGAAGAAGGCCUUCGGGUUGUAAAGCACUUUUGUCCGGAAAGAAAACCUCUGGGUUAAUACCCCGGGGGGGUGACGGUACCGGAAGAAUAAGC
RNAcentral lists this ribosomal RNA (488 nucleotides) under uncultured Burkholderiaceae bacterium. Its description in RNAcentral is "bacterial SSU rRNA". It matches the Rfam family "Bacterial small subunit ribosomal RNA", at positions 8 to 491 of the family's 1533-position model. The record is from RNAcentral. Lineage: Bacteria; Pseudomonadati; Pseudomonadota; Betaproteobacteria; Burkholderiales; Burkholderiaceae.